Molecule: ribosomal RNA, 465 nt
Filed under: Vreelandella stevensii
Lineage: Bacteria; Pseudomonadati; Pseudomonadota; Gammaproteobacteria; Oceanospirillales; Halomonadaceae
Description: partial 16S ribosomal RNA
Rfam family: Bacterial small subunit ribosomal RNA
Source: RNAcentral
CCUACGGGAGGCUGCAGUGGGGAAUAUUGGACAAUGGGGGGAACCCUGAUCCAGCCAUGCCGCGUGUGUGAAGAAGGCCCUCGGGUUGUAAAGCACUUUCAGUGAGGAAGAACGCCUGGUGGUUAAUACCCAUCAGGAAAGACAUCACUCACAGAAGAAGCACCGGCUAACUCCGUGCCAGCAGCCGCGGUAAUACGGAGGGUGCGAGCGUUAAUCGGAAUUACUGGGCGUAAAGCGCGCGUAGGUGGCUUGAUAAGCCGGUUGUGAAAGCCCCGGGCUCAACCUGGGAACGGCAUCCGGAACUGGCAAGCUAGAGUGCAGGAGAGGAAGGUAGAAUUCCCGGUGUAGCGGUGAAAUGCGUAGAGAUCGGGAGGAAUACCAGUGGCGAAGGCGGCCUUCUGGACUGACACUGACGCUGAGGUGCGAAAGCGUGGGUAGCAAACAGGAUUAGAUACCCGUGUAGUC